CUCAGUAGAUGAGAGGAGAGAGCUACUGAGCCAUAGUAUUUGGUCCAUCUCCUCAUCAUUUUCUUUCUCUGCUAACAUUGUGGUCUCCUCCAUCCCCCACCAGGUAUCAGUCUUCAUUGACUCAGGAGCUGAUACUGAGUUUAUGGAUGAGUCUUUUGCCAAGGGCCUAAAUAUCAAACUCCUCACUACUCCAUCGAUCCAUAAUGUUCUGGCUUUGGAUGGACAUCCUAUUAGCCGGUCCCACCUCAUCACAGAAAAGACAAUGCCAUUGAGGAGACUUACCCUGACUUAUCCAGGGUGCCAUCUGAUUACCAUGACCUGAAGGAGGUGUUCAAUAAGUCCCGGGCCACUGCGCUUCCCUUUCAUAGGCCCUACGAUUGUGCCAUUGAGCUCCUUCCAGGACUUUAUCCAGCGCUGAACGUAACUAUGAUGUGGGGGAAAGAGAACUGUUGGCUGUUAAGUUAGCCCUUGAGGAAUGGAGACACUGGCUGGAGGGGGCCAAAGACCCAUUUCU
Long non-coding RNA from Gambusia affinis (western mosquitofish), 514 nucleotides. RefSeq lists it as uncharacterized. Lineage: Eukaryota; Metazoa; Chordata; Actinopteri; Cyprinodontiformes; Poeciliidae. The record is from RefSeq and is a predicted model, not a curated record. The transcript has 3 exons.